GGGGUUGUGGCUCAGUGGUAGAGCGCUCGCCUAGCAUGUGUGAAUUACUGGGUUCAAUCCUCAGCACCA
This 69-nucleotide transfer RNA is filed under the name Ictidomys tridecemlineatus (thirteen-lined ground squirrel). RNAcentral describes it as "Spermophilus tridecemlineatus (thirteen-lined ground squirrel) tRNA". It matches the Rfam family "tRNA". From Rfam's summary of the family: Transfer RNA (tRNA) molecules are approximately 80 nucleotides in length. Lineage: Eukaryota; Metazoa; Chordata; Mammalia; Rodentia; Sciuridae. The record is from Rfam by way of RNAcentral.